UACAGAGGGUGCGAGCGUUGUUCGGAAUUAUUGGGCGUAAAGGGCGCGUAGGCGGUGCGGUAAGUCACCUGUGAAAUCUCCUGGCUCAACUGGGAGCUUGCAGGCGAAACUGCCGUGCUGGAGUGUGGGAGAGGUGCGUGGAAUUCCUGGUGUAGCGGUGAAAUGCGUAGAUAUCGAGAGGAACACCAGUGGCGAAGGCGAGUCUCUGGACGACUCCUGACACUGAGGCACGAAAGCUAGGGGAGCAAACAGG
Molecule: ribosomal RNA, 253 nt
Filed under: uncultured bacterium
Lineage: Bacteria
Description: partial 16S ribosomal RNA
Rfam family: Bacterial small subunit ribosomal RNA
Source: RNAcentral